GAUGAACGCUGGCGGCGUGCCUAAUACAUGCAAGUCGAGCGAACGGACGAGAAGCUUGCUUCUCUGAUGUUAGCGGCGGACGGGUGAGUAACACGUGUAUAACCUACCUAUAAGACUGGGAUAACUUCGGGAAACCGGAGCUAAUACCGGAUGAUAUUUUGAACCGCAUGGUUCAAAAGUGAAAGACGGUCUUGCUGUCACUUAUAGAUGGAUCCGCGCUGCAUUAGCUAGUUGGUAAGGUAACGGCUUACCAAGGCAACGAUGCAUAGCCGACCUGAGAGGGUGAUCGGCCACACUGGAACUGAGACACGGUCCAGACUCCUACGGGAGGCAGCAGUAGGGAAUCUUCCGCAAUGGGCGAAAGCCUGACGGAGCAACGCCGAGUGAGUGAUGAAGGUCUUCGGAUCGUAAAACUCUGUUAUUAGGGAAGAACAUAUGUGUAAGUAACUGUGCACAUCUUGACGGUACCUAAUCAGAAAGCCACGGCUAACUACGUG
Molecule: ribosomal RNA, 497 nt
Filed under: uncultured bacterium
Lineage: Bacteria
Description: partial 16S ribosomal RNA
Rfam family: Bacterial small subunit ribosomal RNA
Source: RNAcentral